CUACAGUCUAUAUUUCAAUUUCACCAAUUGUCCCAGUAAUGUCCUUUUUUAGGGUAAUUUUUCCUGUAGUCCAGGAUCCAAUCCAGGGUCACUCAUUAUGUAGAAUUUGACUUAGUUAAGAUUUGCAAGGGAUUUCCUCAUGGUUUGGUUGAGGUUAUACAUUCUUGGCAGGAAUUAACUAUGGAAAUAACGUGUCCUUCUUAGUGCAUUGUAUGAAGAGGCACAUUAUAUCAGUUUGUACCAGGAGUGGAAGUGUUAACUCUGAUGACUUAGUUUGGUGGUGUCCCCCUAGGUUCUCCAGUAUAAAGUUGCUAUUUUUCCCUUUACAAUUAAUAAGAAAUUUGUGGGGAAUUAAUUUCAGACUAUGUAAACAUCCUGUUCCUCAUCAACUUUUGAUUCAUAGGCUUUAGUAUCUGCUGAUGAAUAUAGCAGUUGCAAAAUGAUGGUAUUUCCAGCUCCAUCACCUGCAUAAUAACACGUCUUCAAUUCUUUUUCACUUAAUAAUAUAUCAUAACCUUUUUUGCAUGUUGCUACUUAAUUAUUCUUGAAAUGGUUAUAUACCAUUAUUCACUUAACCAUUUCCCUAUUGUUACUCAGAUUGUUUUCUUUUUUAAAAAUUAAAUUUAUUAAAGUAACAUUGGUUAAUAACAUUACAUAAAUUUCAAGUGUACAACAUUAUGUUUUCUGUUUUGCAAGAUGAAUAACACUACAGUCAACAAUUUCUUGUAUAGAACUUUUCCCCUCCUGUUAGAUUAUUUCCUUAAGCUCAGUAUCCAUGAAAAAUAUUGCUGGAUUAGAGGGUUUCUUCUCGUUGAAAAGCUUAGGCUAACAUUAAACAACAACCACCACACAACAAAAAAUAAACUCCCUACAAAAACAAAAUCAACCUCACAGAUGAUUUCUGCUUUGAGUGUCCUCAUCCUGCCCUUCCUGGUUCUAAAAUCAGAAUGAAUUAGAAUCGGCCUUGUUGCAGACCCUGGUCUUUGACUCAUUAUCACAUGGACCGGAGGAGAAUGAUAUACUGAGUGAUUGGUGACCAUUAGUGGGCAAGGAUGUGUUGUGUUUCAAAUAUGUGGAGAGGAAUUUCCUAAAUGACUACUGGGGACUGUAGUUGGUAAAAAUAAAGUUUAUUUAUUUGUUCAUCCUCACCCAAGGAUAUUUUCUCCAUUGAUUUUUAGAGAGAGUAAAAGGGAGAAAGAGAGGGAGAGAAGAUGAGAGGGAGGGAGGGAGCGAGGAAGGGAGGGAGAGAGAGAAAGAAACAUUGAUGUGAGAGAGGCACAUCGAUUGGUUGCCUCCCACUCUCACCCCAACUGAGGCUGGGGAGUGAACUUGCAACUGAGAUAUGUGCUCUUGACUGGGAAUGGAACCCUGAAUCCCGUCCACGGGCCAACACUAACCACUAAGCAAACUGUCCAGUGCAGUCUUUUUUUUUUUUU
Myotis daubentonii (Daubenton's bat) is the source of this 1436-nucleotide long non-coding RNA. RefSeq lists it as uncharacterized. Lineage: Eukaryota; Metazoa; Chordata; Mammalia; Chiroptera; Vespertilionidae. The record is from RefSeq and is a predicted model, not a curated record.